UGGGGAAUCUUGGACAAUGGGGGCAACCCUGAUCCAGCCAUGCCGCGUGAGUGAUGAAGGCCUUAGGGUCGUAAAGCUCUUUCGCCUGUGAAGAUAAUGACGGUAGCAGGUAAAGAAACCCCGGCUAACUCCGUGCCAGCAGCCGCGGUAAUACGGAGGGGGUUAGCGUUGUUCGGAAUUACUGGGCGUAAAGCGCACGUAGGCGGACCAGAAAGUUGGGGGUGAAAUCCCGGGGGCUCAACCCCGGAACUGCCUCCAAAACUAUUGGUCUAGAGUUCGAGAGAGGUGAGUGGAAUUCCAAGUGUAGAGGUGAAAAUUCGUAGAUAUUUGGAGGAACACCAGUGGCGAAGGCGGCUCACUGGCUCGAUACUGACGCUGAGGUGCGAAAAGUGUGGGGAGCAAAACAGGAUUAGAUACCCUGGUAGUCCACACCGUAAAACGAUGAAUGCCAGUCGUCGGGUAGCAUGCUAUUCGGUGACACACCUAACGGAUUAAAGCAUUCCGCCUGGGGAGUACGGUCGCAAGAUU
Molecule: ribosomal RNA, 528 nt
Filed under: uncultured bacterium
Lineage: Bacteria
Description: bacterial SSU rRNA
Rfam family: Bacterial small subunit ribosomal RNA
Source: RNAcentral